AAGGAUUUAAGUUAAAUAAACUAUUAACCUUCAAAGUUAAAAAUGGGAAUUCCCUAAGCCUUA
This 63-nucleotide transfer RNA is filed under the name Oulema melanopus. RNAcentral's name for it is "tRNA-Trp". The record is from RNAcentral. Lineage: Eukaryota; Metazoa; Arthropoda; Insecta; Coleoptera; Chrysomelidae.